UCCGAGUUGACCCCGGCAGUCUCCUAUGAGUCCCCACCAUUAUGUGCUGGCAACAUAGAACGAGGGUUGCGCUCGUUGCGGGACUUAACCCAACAUCUCACGACACGAGCUGACGACAACCAUGCACCACCUGUGCACGGCCCUUACGGACCCCCCAUCUCUGGAGGAUUUCCGUGCAUGUCAAGCCUAGGUAAGGUUCUUCGCGUUGCAUCGAAUUAAGCAACAUGCUCCACCGCUUGUGCAGGCCCCCGUCAAUUUCUUUGAGUUUUAACCUUGCGGCCGUACUCCCCAGGCGGUCUACUUCUCGCGUUAGCUGCGUUACUAAGGGAUUUAACUCCCCCAACAACUAGUAGACAUAGUUUAGGGCGUGGACUAC
RNAcentral lists this unclassified non-coding RNA (376 nucleotides) under uncultured Geodermatophilaceae bacterium. Its description in RNAcentral is "contains 16S-23S intergenic spacer region". Lineage: Bacteria; Bacillati; Actinomycetota; Actinomycetes; Geodermatophilales; Geodermatophilaceae. The record is from RNAcentral.